CCUAAAACCUUCCCCCCAAAAUAUUACUUCACAUAACACCUUCUCCCUAAAUAAAACUCCCCCACAUAACAUCCCAUUCCACACACUCUAUAAAACCAUUCUCUACCCAAUGAAAAGAGAGGGAGGAAAAAAAGAACAAAAGGGCUGCGCAUAAGAAGAUAACGAGGAGAAGGAACGAAAAAAAAAGAAAAAGCUAAAAAAAGGGUCUAACAAUGGCAGACUACCAAAAAUCAUAUGAGACCCCACCCUGAAAUCCCGUCUCCUUCGACUCCCUUCCCCACCGAACUGCUUCGCCUUCAACAAAGAACGACCACCCUUUCCCCUUUGAAUUUCAUUUUCUUCAGGAUCUCCUCUUCCCUGUCAUUCGUCUUCUUUGACAGACAUAGAGAACUAGCCACCCUUUAAACCCAGAAAAAUAGCUCCAAAGAGCAGCACAGUCAGUCACAAAAAUUACUGAAAAUCAGUCCGAAAAUCCCAAAAAUAAAACCUCAAAACAACCCUGUUCACAGCGAAAAUCAGAGGCAGAACCAUCCACAAAACAACCCCGAAAUUGCUCCGAAUUAACAUAGAAAAACAGUAGCUAUUUUCUAGCCCGAACCUAGUUGAAACCACCCUUGAUCCACUUGAAAACAUCUUUCUUUUCCACAUAGUGCAACAAUGCUUUUUCAAGUCGAGGGAGUAGAGGGGGCCGCCACUGGUUUCCGGUUGUAGUCAUCGUUCUUGUUUUGAUUAUUGAGCUGCAGAAAAUCUGAAAUAGAAGGUCCAUAUUUUAUUCCUCCCUUCUUUUCUUUAUCAUGUUGUAUGUUCGUAUUUGUUUACUUUGUUUAUCAGCCACGUGAAUCUUCUAUUCUUGAUAUGAUAAUUGUGAUUGCUUUCUUGCAUUUUAUUAUUAACUUAGUACCAUAAAUCAGUAGAUUUAGUCCAAUAGAUUUAUGUAGAAAGUAUUUGCUUCAUGUGGUGUGAUGCAAUUUUGUUGAAUUCGCAUAAAUUGGAUAUCGUGGAAAUCACUAGUGUUUAACUAAUGAGGAUUUGGACUUAAUUGAAAAGAGAACGUUUUAAUAUGGAAUUAUGGAUUUUGAGUUGUAAAAUUGGGCCAAGGUUUUGGAAAUAGUUGGAUCAUAUUUUCCUGUUAGUAUGUUUAGGUUACUCUUAUUUUGAAUUAGUAGCUUCUCUCAUUUUUCCUACUUUAUUAGUUAUAAACUUGAUCUCAUAUUAAUUCCUUAAUUGAUAGUAAUGGUCAGUAGACGAUAAUAAAUGGAUAGCGGGAUCUUAAUCAUUAAUUUGGAAUUUGUCCUUUCCCAUACACCAUAAGUCAUUCAAUCCCUCCAAAAUACUUUAAUUCAUCCACAAAUUGUAGUCUCAUAAUAAUCUCAAAGUAGUUUAGAAAAAUAAUACGAUGCGUAGUUGCUUUAGGCGCACUAAUUAAAAUUACCUUCCUAAACUCGGGUGCGCAUUGAUGCGACCCAAAUCUAAAUCUCGACGAAGUCGAAAUGGGUUGACAAUCACGGGUGCAUCGAUUGCGACGUGGUUCGAAACGCGUUUUUACGACGUCGCAAUUCUUUUGAAAUAAAUAAUAAUAAAAAGUGGUUUACAAAUAAAAGGCACAUAAGCUAGCAUGUAUUAAGAUUAGAUAAAAUUAAAUACAACAGUUAAGCGACCGUGCUAGAACCAUGGAACUCGGGAAUGCCUAACACAUUCUCCCAGGUUAACAGAAUUCCUUACUCGGAUUUCUGGUUCGCAGACCAUUAACAGAGUCAUAUGUUUCCUCGGUUCGGGAUACAACCGGUGACUUGGGACACCAUUAAUCUCUCAAGUGGCGACUCUGAAUAAUUAAUAAUCAAAUCCUGUUCUGAUUGUCCUUCAAUUGGAAAAACUCCUUUACGCCUCUUCGGGGGUGUAAGUGAAAAAGGAGGUGUGACAAGCUGCACCUUUGCCCCUACCGCGACCUCUACCGCAACCUCGGCCUCUCGCGACCCUGGCCGGUUGUACUGGUGGUUGUCCAUCCUGACCAGUAGUACGUGUCCUCACCAUCUGUGAGAGAAUAGAAUAACAAAAGUUUAGUUACCAGAAUCAAUAGAUUCGCACAACAAAAAUUCAAGAAUGUGAAGUUUCCUAAGGGUUCGGCAACUUCUCGAAGAUUAGUACAGACGUCUCCAUACCGAUCCGCAAGACUCUACCAAACCUGCUCAUGACUCGUAAGAUCUAUGUAACAUAGGCUCUAAUACCAACUUGUCACGAUCCAAAUCCUAACUGGCGUGAUGGAACCUAUCGAUGGUACCAUGCAACCAGACUUUUUCAAAAUACUUCCAAUACUACACAGAAGAUAAAUCAAAAGUUUUUAAAUAAAUAGAGUUUUCGUAAAAUAAGGGUUAAACCCAAAAUACAAGUGAGGAAAAUAGCCCCAAAAUCGGGGUUCCACUAAGUCAUGAACAUCUAAACAUAACCGGUCAAGAAAUAAAAUGACUAUCAUAGUCUGAAUCCAAAUACAAUGAAAGAAAGAUACAUAAGAAGAAAACAAGGUCGGCGAACACCAGGCAGCUACCUCGUUAUCUCCAACGGUCAGCUACGAGAACUAUCAACACCUUCCACGUCCCGAAACUCCUAGAUUUGCACAUAAAGUGUAGUCUGUAGCGUGAGUACAACCAACUCAGUAAGUAACUGUCGCGCCCCCUUUUUCUCGCAAAAUCGGGUUUAUGACAUUUGGGAUGACAACUCGUUCCUUUUCGGGAAUUGGGUUUGAAUUGAAGAGUCGUCACCUAAUGAUUCCCGGCCAAGCUAUUAUUGUGACUUUAAGUACAAAUAACACAUAAGCAAAUAAAGACUUCAAAUAAGAGGGGAUUUAAACGUAAUGGUUACAAAUAAACCAAAAGUAAGAAAAAGGAACUAAAAGGAGUAGAUUUUCUUAAAAGAAAUGGUUUUAAAAAAAAAGAUUUAAAGAAACAAAGAAAACAAAGGGAAGGGGGAGUCCUAGGUUUAUUAAUAAUAUGGAUCACCCCACACAACACCCGGUAAUCACUCCUCAAUCACGGUAUACACGAGAUGUUACUGCGUGGUCAUCAUAUCCGUAUCUACCCUUCCCUACCCCGUUGAAGUAUUAAAGUGUGAAAUGGUAUCGUUUACUUAUUGCAUGCUAUUACCCGCCCCAAUUCUAUCAGUCCCGGAGGCAUUUAGGACUACUAAUCCUAAAGGGGAGGUAUGUUGGGCUUAUUUAUGGUUUCAAAGGAAACAAUACUAAAGCGGCAAAUAAAAACAUAUAUAUAGCAAGUAUGGGGAAGCACAUAAACAAAUAAGGCUCAAACAGACCUCCUUAAAUCAAAGAAAAGUAUAUAGUUUAGCAUGUCUUACAUGUACUGAUUAGGGUCUGAUUAAACUUAAAAGUUGGGGCAGACUGAUUUAUUGCAUAUUUCAGAUAAGAAGCCCGAGUCAGGCCUGCCAGCUGGUUGUAGCAUAUAAAAAUCUGAUUUAGUUUAUAAACUUUCACCCUAUUGCUUGCCUAAGUGUUAGACAAAGACCUAUAGGCAUGAUAUCUAUUGAUUUCAGAAAAGAUGAAGUAUACUGAUUUUAGAAAAGGUUAUCAGUUAUUUAGGAAAGACGAGUUUUUGACAAAAGAUCAUAAAUUCUAACAGACGCUAGAUAAUGAUUUUAGAUUUGUAGGAGAUCUGAGANNNNNNNNNNNNNNNNNNNNNNNNNUGAAUGCAGAAUUUCAGAAACCUAUAGGCAGGAUAUCCAUAUGGGUGCAGAAUUCCUUAUAGGCAUAGUAUCUAAAUAUGAAAGUGCAGAAUUCUUAUAGGAAGGAUAUCUAUGUGAUAUGCAGAAAUCAGAAAUUCCAUAUGAGCAGGAUAUCUACCCCUUUUACAUACAUAGUUAUUCCCCCCCCCCCUUUUCACUAGCCAUCUCCAAGAGUUUAGUAUAAAGUAAUUACAUCCCAAAAAGUAAAGCAAGGAAAACACAUCAGAAAUUAGAAAGUACAACCAAAGAGAGCCUAAUUCAGACUUCCUAUAUGAAGUAUGAAGUAAACCAACUCCAAGAGUUCAUAUUUCAAAGCCCUUCUCCCAUUUGGGGUGUGUCAGAGUUCCCUAAGAGUUUCAUAAGAACUCCGGAUAGUGCUUACACCCAAAUGUAUCAUAGAUUAAGCCAUAGUGCGGUGUGGAAGGGUCAGCCCUCAGGUGUCCAAGUUCAGAGAGAACUCAAGGUCCCAAGGCAAGGCUCACAAGAGGGGGGCAAAACUUAGAGACUAGGAGAGAGUGCAAGUGCAGAAUUCUGAAAGGGGAAGGGAAACAGUACACAUAGGGAUAUAGGGAAUGGGGGAUUGUAGGAGCACAAGAAGAGCAGGCUGAUGGGCAUACCCAACAAUGGGAUAUGUUGGCACACCCUCUAGCCUGUUUAGAGGUUAAGACCACAUUGGUUCAAACUCAGUUCAUGGACAACAACUCAUAUUGCCAUACCCUAAGCCAUAAUUUACAAACACAUAGGGGUAAUGGGAUAGGGAGCAAAGAUUCACAACAGAAACAAACAGUAUAACAUAGGCAUACUAAGCUAAAUGUUGAACUCUACAGAAAAUAAUAAAGUAGAUAUGGAUACAACGACUGUAAGUAAACACAGUGGGGUGAUACUGAAACUUAAAUCAGGACAUACCAGUUUCAAAGAAAUAAGUAGAAAAAGCAGUAGACUUGUAAAAGCCAAAGUGCAAACAGGAAGACAAAAUACUAUAAGUGUGAGUUCAGAAGAGAUUGUGAAUUUGUGAAGUCUGAAGUGUGUGUUUGUGAAAAAGGGUCGUGCCUUUUAUAGUGUAGAAAGCAGACGGAAAUAAGGUAAGAAAAUAGUUUGAAAACUGAUUGUCAAUAAAUUACACAAGGCUUCCCUUAAUUAAGGGAUUCAGAUUCAAAACGAGUAAAACCAUUUAAGGAAAGGAAUUGAAUAAACACUUUGUGUAAAACAUGUAAUUAAGGGCAAAUACAUAAAGGUUAUUUAAGGACAGGGUUUUGACAGUACACGGUUUGGUGCAAAUAAGGUAAGGGAGUCAAUUAACAUCCAGUAAAUCACAAGGUCUAAGGUUUGGUAUGAAUGAACCAAGUCAAAAAAUAUGAAGUAGGGUUUUACUUAAGUCGGGUAAUAGAGGAAAUCAGUAAAUGAUGGAAAGAAAUCAAUCAAGCUAUAUUCAGAAGGAAGUUUGCACUAAUUGCCAAAUUUGAAAACCAUUUAGAGGAAAAUUCAUCAUAUAUAAGGAGCAUGUGAGCAUGAGAGAAGACUAUCGUGUAAAUCAGUAGAAAAAAUCUAGUGUAGAAGAGUUCAGCAAAAAGUUCAGCAUUGCAUGAAAACAAAGAUGUCCGAACUCAGCUCAGAGACUCAAAGUCAGUCUGAAGGAGUUAAGGGUUCUGAAAAAAUAAAACCCUAGUUCAAUAAAACCUCGGCAGAACUCCCAAAUUCUAGGGUUUACACCUUGAAUCAAGUACAGAGAUGAGAAGACAAGCAGUCGAAUCGAAACAUGUUUAGAGGUUUCAGAAAAGAACAGAAACUUCUUACAUGUUUCUUCCAGCAACAGAACUCAUGAAUAGCAUGUAAAUACAGUAGAGGGGUUCAAGGCAAACAGAGUAAAGAAACUAAUUCGAAACAUGAUGAGAAAAGACUGAUAAGAAUAAUAAAAGAGAGCAUGCUUAAGAAGAUCCUUUUAAAAGAAACUUAAGUAAGGUUCAAUAGAAGAAAAAUAGUAAGAACAUUUAAGAACACGGUAGAAGAAUAUAGUAGGCGAAACAUACCAGAACAUAGUAGAAGAAAAUAGCAGGACGUAGUAGAAAAGCAUAAAAGAACAUUGUAUAGAAAGCACAGUAGAAGAACAUACAAGAACGGAAUAUAGAAAGCAUAGUAAAAGAACAUGUAUGGUAGAAGGAAAACAUAGAACACACUAGAGGCAAAUACACACAAAAGAAAAGGAAAAGAAAGUCAGAGAAACAUUUAAGCAUUUUCAGAAAACCCUAAAUCGUAAAAGAAAGACUUUGAAAAGUAAUUUUCGAAAGAAAAGUUAGGGAGAUCAUUUGAAAAUUCAAAGAGAGCAUAGAUACACAACGGAUCUAAAGAGAUCGGAGAAAACCUCGAAGGGUUAGGGUUUCAGAAGAACCCUAGAAAUGAGAAGGGCAUUGAAAAGGUCACCGAUCUAAGUCAGAGUGGUCAGAACUAGGCUCAAAACACCAUGGUUGAGCAAGGCCGGCGAUGACUCUGGAACCUUGAAUUGACAGAGGUCUGGGUGCGAACCUUCAAGUCCUGGCCUCGAAUCUUCAGGUAUCAGGUGUGUAAGAGCAAGGGGAGGUGAGUAUAGGGCCCUCACAACUUGGGAAGCCAUGGUUUCCGGUGGGUUUUGAGGUGGAAGACGAUGAGAGGCGGCUAGGGUUAGGGAAGGUUCGAGAGAGUUUGAGAGAAUGGGGAGGGUUUAGAGGCGGCUACCAGUGACAAAUGGUUAGGGUUGGGGGUGUUGGUAAGUUAAAAAGGAAAGGGAGAACGUGAGUUGUUGAUCUGUU
RNAcentral lists this long non-coding RNA (6512 nucleotides) under Nicotiana tabacum (common tobacco). RNAcentral's name for it is "long non-coding RNA (NTAB_LNC009132)". Lineage: Eukaryota; Viridiplantae; Streptophyta; Magnoliopsida; Solanales; Solanaceae. The record is from RNAcentral.